Long non-coding RNA from Quercus lobata, 907 nucleotides. RefSeq lists it as uncharacterized. The transcript has 2 exons. The record is from RefSeq and is a predicted model, not a curated record. Lineage: Eukaryota; Viridiplantae; Streptophyta; Magnoliopsida; Fagales; Fagaceae.
UGUGAAUGCUUGAACUUAAAUAUAUGAUUGAAUCCUAGUACUAUCUAUGCUGUUGUAGAGUGUGGUUUGCUCUUUAGUGCUGAGAAAGUCCUCUUUUUAAUUAAAUUUGAAGAUUAUGAAAUUUAUUUUAUGUUCUUAGGAACAACAGUUGGUGCUUUCAAUGAUUUUUUUGUAUAUGGAUUGAAUGCCAAAUAGAAUACUGUGACUAGCCCUGAUUAGUCUGCAGAGGAUUCAGUGUUGACCCAAAUUUUUGGUAGUAAGGUUUGGCUAUUUGGUUGAAUGCCAAAUGAUUGUUUCUUUGUUUAAUGUUAUUUGUUUUUCUUUUUUGGAGGUAAUUUUCAUUUUGGUAUAAGCAGAAAAUUAACAGGAGUUUAGAUGUUUGUUAAUUUCAGUGGUUCCUAGUUUUUAUGGAAACGUGUAUUUGUUGUUUUAUGGAUUUGACAGACUACUUCAAAGCACUUUUCUGAGGCUUCACAUCUCUAACUGCACACUGCGUAUCCCUGCAAUUAUAUGAUUUAUUUGUAGCAAACACCCAAUCUUCUCUAUCCUCACCAUCAAUUUGCUCUUCACAAAGUUUAUAUUGAUUUUGUUCAAAGCUUUCUGACAUGUCAGUAGGCCACAUCCAAAGACCAUUAACUAUAAACUUAGACAAACUGUCAAAGCAGCAACUUGUGUCAUGCAUCACCCUAUUACCAUUUCUUUUUUCUUUUUCUUUUUUAAUUUUAAUUUCAUCGUUUGUGGUUGAGAGAGGCAGCAUUGGAAGCACAAGCAUGUCCAGGGAUGACUUAAACAAGCUUCCUUGCAAAACAUGUGGCAACCUCAAUCUCGAUCUGAAUUAGGGGAUGUCUCCUCCUUCACUUGGUAAUGGUUCCAAGGAGAAUGAGGGAUGCCUUCAGUUCCACUUUGA